Molecule: non-coding RNA, 400 nt
Organism: Salvelinus namaycush (lake trout)
Lineage: Eukaryota; Metazoa; Chordata; Actinopteri; Salmoniformes; Salmonidae
Source: the annotation of a RefSeq genome assembly
CAUGACAACAGAACCCACAACAACCAUGACUUUUAUCACCAUCUUCAUCUGGACACUUGCUUUCUACAUCAAGGAAUCUAGAGGACAGUACACUGUGACUCAGACUCCUGCAGUGAAAGCUGUUCUCGAAGGACAGACAGUCUCUCUGAACUGUAAAACCAGCAGUGAUGUGCAUGGUAAUGUCUAUCUAGCCUGGUACCAGCAGAAAAAUGGAGGAACUCCUAAACUCCUUAUUUACUCUGCUACAACACUUCAGUCUGGGAUUCCAUCUAGAUUCAGUGGUAGUGGAUCUGGGAGUGACUUCACUCUGACCAUCAGUGGAGUCCAGGCUGAAGAUGCAGGAGAUUAUUACUGUCAGAGUUUACACUACCCCAACAGUGUCUGGGUGUUCACACAGUGA